CCUACGGGUGGCAGCAGUGAGGAAUAUUGGUCAAUGGGCGAGAGCCUGAACCAGCCAAGUCGCGUGAAGGAUGACUGUCCUACGGGUUGUAAACUUCUUUUUUCAAGGAGUAAAGUCAGGCACGUGUGGGUUUUUGUAUGUACUUUAUGAAAAAGGAUCGGCCAACUCCGUUCCAGCAGCCGCGGUAAUACGGAGGAUCCGAGCGUGAUCCGGAUUGAUUGGGUGUAAAGGGAACGUAGAUGGGUUGUUAAGUCAGUUGUGAAAGUUUGCGGCUCAACCGUAAAAGUGCAAUUGAUACUGGCAGCCUUGAGUACAGAUGAGGUAGGCGGAAUUCGUGGUGUAGCGGUGAAAUGCUGAGAUAUCACGAAGAACUCCGAUUGCGAAGGCAGCUUACUAAGCUGCCACUGACAUUGAUGCUCGAAAGUGUGGGUAUCAAACAGGAGUAGAUACCCUAGUAGUC
This 460-nucleotide ribosomal RNA is filed under the name uncultured bacterium. Its description in RNAcentral is "partial 16S ribosomal RNA". It matches the Rfam family "Bacterial small subunit ribosomal RNA", at positions 338 to 795 of the family's 1533-position model. The record is from RNAcentral.